RNAcentral lists this ribosomal RNA (497 nucleotides) under uncultured bacterium. Its description in RNAcentral is "partial 16S ribosomal RNA". It matches the Rfam family "Bacterial small subunit ribosomal RNA", at positions 28 to 507 of the family's 1533-position model. The record is from RNAcentral.
GAUGAACGCUGGCGGCGUGCCUAAUACAUGCAAGUCGAGCGAACAGACGAGGAGCUUGCUCCUCUGACGUUAGCGGCGGACGGGUGAGUAACACGUGGAUAACCUACCUAUAAGACUGGGAUAACUUCGGGAAACCGGAGCUAAUACCGGAUAAUAUAUUGAACCGCAUGGUUCAAUAGUGAAAGACGGUUUUGCUGUCACUUAUAGAUGGAUCCGCGCCGCAUUAGCUAGUUGGUAAGGUAACGGCUUACCAAGGCAACGAUCCGUAGCCGACCUGAGAGGAUGAUCAGCCACACUGGAACUGAGACACGGUCCAGACUCCUACGGGAGGCAGCAGUAGGGAAUCUUCCGCAAUGGGCGAAAGCCUGACGGAGCAACGCCGCGUGAGUGAUGAAGGUCUUCGGAUCGUAAAACUCUGUUAUUAGGGAAGAACAAAUGUGUAAGUAACUAUGCACGUCUUGACGGUACCUAAUCAGAAAGCCACGGCUAACUACGUG